This 516-nucleotide long non-coding RNA is filed under the name Brassica napus (rape). RNAcentral's name for it is "long non-coding RNA (BNAP_LNC012731)". The record is from RNAcentral. Lineage: Eukaryota; Viridiplantae; Streptophyta; Magnoliopsida; Brassicales; Brassicaceae.
AUUAAAAAAUUAAACAUAUAGAUAAAAAAUUCUAAAACCAUACUCAUCUAUCAACAAAAACGCAUGUUAUCCUAAUUUCUAAAUCACAAUCCCAAAUCUAUAGUAUUUCUUUACAAAAAUGAUAACUUUCCCAAAAUAACUGGUUUUAGAAAAUUUAUUUAAAAAUUAAAACCUAUAGGUAAAUAAUUCUAAAAGCAUACCCAUUUAUCAACAAAAACGCUUGUUAUCCUAAUUUCUAAAUCACAAUUCCAAAUCUACAAUAUUUUUCUACAAAAAUGAUAACUUUCCAAAACUUGAAGUUCUUCGAAAUUUUAUUUAUAAAAUAUAACCUAUUGAUCAAAAAUUUAAAAAAGCAUACCCAUAUAUAAACAAAAAUUCUUGUUAUCAUAAUUUCUAAAUCACAAUCCCAAAUCUACAAUAUUUCUCUACAAAACGAUAACUUUCUAAAAAAUAGAAGGUUUUGGAAAAUUAAUUUAAAAAUUAUAACCUAUUGACAAAAAUUCUAAAACCAUACCC